RNAcentral lists this ribosomal RNA (253 nucleotides) under uncultured bacterium. RNAcentral's name for it is "partial 16S ribosomal RNA". It matches the Rfam family "Bacterial small subunit ribosomal RNA", at positions 524 to 776 of the family's 1533-position model. The record is from RNAcentral.
UACGGGGGGGGCAAGCGUUGUUCGGAAUUACUGGGCGUAAAGGGCUCGUAGGCGGCCAACUAAGUCAGACGUGAAAUCCCUCGGCUUAACCGGGGAACUGCGUCUGAUACUGGAUGGCUUGAGUUUGGGAGAGGGAUGCGGAAUUCCAGGUGUAGCGGUGAAAUGCGUAGAUAUCGGAAGGAACAUCAGUGGCGAAAGCGACUUCCUGGACCAGUACCGACGUUCAGGCACGAAAGCGUGGGGAGCAAACAGG